UGGGGAAUUUUGCACAAUGGGCGCAAGCCUGAUGCAGCGACGCCGCGUGAGGGAUGAAGGCCUUCGGGUUGUAAACCUUUUUCGCUCAUGGUCAAGCCGCAGCUUUGGGUUGUGGUGAGGGUAGUGGGUAAAGAAGCGCCGGCUAACUACGUGCCAGCAGCCGCGGUAAUACGUAGGGCGCGAGCGUUGUCCGGAAUUAUUGGGCGAAAAGGGCUUGUAGGCGGUUGGCCGCGUCUGCCGUGAAAUCCUCUGGCUUAACUGGGGGCGUGCGGUGGGUACGGGUUGACUUGAGUGCGGUAGAGGAGACUGGAAUUCCUGGUGUAGCGGUGGAAUGCGCAGAUAUCAGGAGGAACACCGGUGGCGAAGGCGGGUCUCUGGGCCGUUACUGACGCUGAGGAGCGAAAGCGUGGGGAGCGAACAGG
RNAcentral lists this ribosomal RNA (422 nucleotides) under bacterium. RNAcentral describes it as "partial 16S ribosomal RNA". It matches the Rfam family "Bacterial small subunit ribosomal RNA", at positions 355 to 776 of the family's 1533-position model. The record is from RNAcentral.